CAAAUUCACUUUCUUUUCAAUCCAAUUCAGCAAUCUCUCUUUUUGAACACAAAUGGGUGUUGAUUACUAUAACCUACUGAAAGUUAACCGUAGCGCGACGGACGAUGACCUGAAAAGGGCCUACAAGCGACUGGCCAUGAAAUGGCAUCCCGAUAAGAAUCCUGCUAACAAGAAAGAAGCCGAAGCUAAGUUCAAGCAAAUUUCUGAAGCUUAUGAGCGUAUGAUGUUCUCAGCGACUCGCAGAAGCGUCAGAUCUAUGAUCUAUAUGGGGAAGAGGGGCUUAAGUCUUUUGAGUAAAGUCUUUUGAAUUUGGUGGGCCCGGGGAUGAGGGGAAGUCGUCGUCGAAGACGACCAACAAUACGACAUUCCGGUUCAAUCAGCGGGACGCGGACGACAUUUUCAACGAGUUCUUCGGUGGAUCUGGCGGCUGUGGUAUGGGUGGUGGGAGUGGGAAGAGUGGGUUUCCUAGGAAUGGGGAGACCGGGAAUCAGGGGAACAGGAAGGCGGCGUCGAUUGAGAGCAAGUUGACGUGCAGUUUAGAGGAGCUCUAUAAUGGAGCUAGAAGGAAGAUGAGGAUUUCACGUUCUGUCCCUGAUGACUUCGGUAAGCCAAAGACUGUUGAGGAAAUCUUAAAGAUAGAUAUCAAACCGGGCUGGAAGAAAGGCACAAAAAUCACUUUCCCAGAGAAAGGGAACCAAGAACCUGGUGUUAUUCCGGCUGAUCUUAUCUUCGUGGUGGAUGAGAAGCCCCAUCCUGUUUUCAAGCGGGAUGGGAACGAUCUGGUUGUCAAUCAGAAAAUCUCAUUACUAGAGGCUCUCACAGGGAAGACUGUUGACUUAAGAACCUUGGAUGGAAGGUAUCUUACUAUCCCAGUAACAGAUAUUAUCAAACCGAGCCAUGAGAUCGUGAUAUUGAAUGAAGGAAUGCCCAUCUCAAAAGAACCACACAAGAAAGGAAAACUUAGAAUCAAGUUUGAUGUGACAUUCCCAUCAAGACUGACUGCAGAACAGAAAUCUGAUCUCAAGAGGGUGCUGGGUGGUGCUGAUAAUUAGUUAGUUCCAAGUUGAAGCUUGGGUUGCUGAUCAUCAAUCAAUACUAAUUAUUUAUGUAAGUUAAUUAAAUGUAAAUACAUUUGCAUAUUCCACUGUUCCAGAGCAAGAUUGUGCAUAGUAGGAAGAAAGUUACAAGUAUUUUAAGCAGUACUUUAGCUAUGUGGCUUGGGAAAAACUAUCUAUGAUCAAAGCUGUCAAAAGAUAACUCCUAAUUGAAAUUUGUAUCUAGUGAUCAACUAAUUUAGUCUUUUUGCUUUGAAGUUGAAGCCGGAAAACCCUCCGUAUUAUGUACUUGAGAAAUGAUGACAUCUAAUGCA
This 1369-nucleotide unclassified non-coding RNA is filed under the name Hevea brasiliensis (rubber tree). The record is from RNAcentral. Lineage: Eukaryota; Viridiplantae; Streptophyta; Magnoliopsida; Malpighiales; Euphorbiaceae.